This 4456-nucleotide long non-coding RNA is filed under the name Sus scrofa (pig). Its description in RNAcentral is "lncRNA (ENSSSCG00000054762.1, ENSSSCG00130031768.1)". The record is from RNAcentral. Lineage: Eukaryota; Metazoa; Chordata; Mammalia; Artiodactyla; Suidae.
UUUUGCUAUUUCUUGGGUGCUCCCGUGGCAUAUGGAGGUACCCAGGCUAGGGGUCGAAUCCAAGCUGUAGUCACUGGCUUAUGCCAGAGCCACAGCAAUGAGGGAUCCGAGCCACGUCUGUGACCUAAACCACAGCUCACGGCAACGCUGGAUCGUUAACCCACUGAGCAAGGCCAGGGAUCGAACCCUCAACCUCAUGGUUCCUAGUCGGAUUGGUUAACCACUGCUCCACAACGGGAACUCCUGAUAUCACUAAUUUCUAACAACGUACUCAGGGUCAAUUUUCAAGUACAGACUAAUUUUUUGGUACUAAUCUUCUCUCUUACAGGUCUUGUCUAGGGUGAAGGUACACAAGUUACUUUUCAACUUUCCUCUUAUACUUUGCCCUUGUCCUGGCGUUGAGGGAGGCUAAUUUACAAUUUGUAACCCCGGUUGAAAAACAUGAAAAGUAUAUCCCAAUUCCUUUUCUGGUCAAAAUACCUUCCCAAGAACUCUCCUUGCUUGUAAUACAUUAACUAGAAGGCAUAAUGAGGAAGUUUAUUUUCUAUGUUAGAAACGCUAAAGGGACUAUCUUAUUUUUACACAUUAUCAUGUCAAUGAAAACAUCAAAUAUCCUCAGAUAUAAAAACACAGCAAAUUUUUAAAAUAUACGGCAAGUUGAUCUUUAAAGCAGUCAUUCUACAGACAGAUAUUUAAAAAUACAAACCACAAGGACUUACAUACAAAAAAUUUUAAAUUGGGUGGAAAUGAAAUUAUUCUUGCUUUACAGACAAGGAGUCUGUGAACUUUUAACUUAAAUGUACUCAGCAUUGUCUGAAUAUAAUAGAAAUUGGAACAAACUAAAGCUGGGGAUGUCCCAAUGAUUUUAUUGAGGUAACUUUUUCCAAUUUUAUACAUAUAUGUAUUUAAUGUAUUUAUAUAUACUUAAGAAAGCUAAACAAUGUUCUAAGGCACUUGGAAUUGUGCACAACAAAGUAUCCUGUAAUAUUAUACAACUAAAUAGAGCAUGGUUUUGCUUUUUAAAUAACACAAACACCAAUAUAGAAUAAAAAAGAUAAUACAUAGUCUUUCAGGCUACAAUAGUGGAAUUACAUAUACAUGUGUGUUUAUACUUGUAGAUAUUUAUACCCACAUUCUAUAAUACAGUACAGGUUUAAGAACAACCAAAAAAGGAGAAACUGUCAUGUUAAUCAGCAUACAGUUCCAGUUAUUUACAGCCACAGAUAUGAUACCUGUGCAAUUUAAUACAGGAUGAGAUCAAUCAUUGGAAAUUAGGAAUCAUUCAGUCAGUCUGAUAACGAUCACAGCUCAUUAUUCUUAUCAUGUUCACCAAAGCUCGAAAUAACAAAAUGCAUAUAGUCCUUUAUUUAAAAGUCACCGUUACAUAGAAGAAAAAACGACGAGUUUGAGUUUUUAGUAGGUACUAAGUCUGGUGAAAUCGGUGCAGAAUGUUUUGAACAUAUUGGCACAUUUCUAAGCCACAGAAGAAAUACAUUCUAAAAAAUGAAAAUUAGUGCCUAUAUUUUAAGGGAUGAAAGUGGUUUGACCCUAGAUCACUCAGGUUGUUUUUGAACUCUAGUUGGCGUUGCCACGGCAACUUCUCCUUGUGGACGCUCUCUAAGCAAUGUGACACAAAGUCGAACUAAAACAAAACGUCCAGGAAGGGAAAAGCCCUCCCAAUUGGCAAGUGGCACAAGUAUUUAUUGGCAUUUUCAUAUACCACAAAAUUGACCUGAGGGUGGAGUGGCAUUCUGCCUCAUUUACUCCCUUCAACUUACUCUUAAAAAAAAAAAAUACUGGUAUUGAAUAAGAAUUCUUAAGCACCACCUAAAAGUUCACAAUAUAAUGACCGUUAUCGACUCUGAGCUGCUCUGCUUCGAAAAACAUGUUUAGAAAUUUUAAUAUUGAAAAAAAUUAAAGUGGCUAACUUAAUUCCAUCUGUCAGCCACAAUUCAUCGAAUAAUUUCAAGACAUAUAUAUCAUUCCGUUUUGGUCAUAAAAAGUUACAAAGAGUAUGUUUCUAUGUUGUUAGUAUAGUAUAAUAAGGUUUCACCUAGGUAAAACUCAUCUUGUUUUGUGUAUGGUCAUUGCUCAAGUAUGAAUGACAUGCAUGCAAUUCACAGUUCACCCUCAUUAACUUCAUAAUUUAGUAUUCAUCAAUCUGAGAAAAGUGGAACUGCAUGACUAUAUUGAUGCAGGGGGAAUUCAAGCCUUUGCACGUGGACUAAAUGCUUCUUUAACAGAAUAAACAGGCAGUUGUUUGGGAAUCCAUGGGAUGCGGUUUACCAGGUGAAAUCCAAUGAUGAUUUUCAUAGACCACCAGUUUUGUUUAUGUGGAUUGUUAGCUGUCGUGUUUGUGAUUAAGCCAUGCAAGGCUCUGCAUGACAUCGACAAGGAUUAUGACUAACAGGGUACAUCUGAGAGAAAACUGUGAGGUGCAAAAAAAAAAGGGGGGGGUUUGCUUAAUUUGAAACUAAAAUCUCUCCUUUUAGUACAUACAGGGACUAACCAAGUGACUAUGCCCAUUGGAACUGCCAGGACCACCCAAUAACCCCAAGUUUGAAGAACUGGCAAACUAAAGCUGAUUCAAAGCAGAGGACUGGAAAAAUGAGGGGAGAAGAAAUUGUUUGGGGUCAAAGAAAUGCAAGGCAGUCAAGAUGAUGUUUUGAAAUAGACACUUUUUCCUGUGUCCUCAAAUUGCAAUAGACAGUGGUAUUUAAGGGAGGAGGUACUGCCCUCCUAGGAGGGGAUUUGAACCCGGGGGAGUGCUUUUUACUUUCUGUAUUUACGGUGACUGCACAUACUGUUGGCAUUUAGUCAUCAGGGCCUGAGAUAGUAAACAUCUUGCAAUGUGUGGGACAUUCCUCCACAACAAAGAACUGCCUGACUCUGAAUGCCAAUAGUACCCACACUGAGAAACACCUGUGCGAGUCCUUUGCUCAUGUUGCAGCUAUGCUAGCAAGGUGACAAGCUAAAUGACAUUUUUUGUGUGUGCGGUAGAUCCUAACACAGCUAAAAAAUGACCCAUAUGCCUGUGGGGUUGGCUUUCAGUGGGAAAAGGUGUCUCCUUGUUUUUUUCUCCUAGAAAUCUUACAGUGUAUACAAUAGGAUUUCUUAAUUUGAGAUGACCCUGUCUUUGAAAAAUCGGUAAGUUGUUUUCUAGGAACAAUACCAGUGGUUUGCAUUUCCAUAAAGAGCUUGAGCUUAACCACUACAAAAAGUAAACAGAAAGUGAAAAUAAGAAUGGUUCCAGAGGAUUCUUCCUUUGUCCUGCCACCCGUGCAUCACUCCCAAAUUACAGCAGAGGCUCAUGCUGGUCAUUGAAACUCGUGUUUCAACUUUCUGGAGAUGUGCUUUCUCUUAGAAAGAUGGUCCUAUUAAUUUGAUUUGCUGUUGCAUUCCCCUCUAAGACAUAUUUCAGCUCUAGAAGUUCAUUCUGCUUUGUCAAAUAAAACAAUGUGAUAUAUACUCAAAUACCUAAUAGUGGAAGAUUAGCCAUUUUAAGGGCUUAAGGGAAAACUUGGUAAAUAAUUGUAUCUUCAUUGUUUCUCAGUGCUCAUAGCAUUCUCUAAUGAUGUGAAGAAAUUAAUUCUUUUUUUUUUUUUCCUUUUUAGGGCCACACCUGUGGCAUAUGGAGAUUCCCAGGCAAGGAGUAGAAUUGGAGCUGCAGCUGCUGGCCUACGCCACAGACACAGCAAUGUGGGAUCCGAGCCACGUCUGACACCACAGCUCACAGAAACACCAGAUCUUUAAUUCACUGAGGAAGGCAAGGAUCAAACCUGCAUCUUCAUGGAUACUAGCCGGUUAUUAACCUGCUGAGCCACAAUGGGAACUCCCUGAAGAAAUUAUUAAUUCUUGUCUCAAAGUAUAAACUUUCACUAGUAAUGUUAGGCUUAAUAACAUGAUUGGAUUUAGGAAUGUUUAAGCUACUAUACUGAUGCAAUGAUAUAAAUUUGUGUAUCUUGUACUAGCUUGAUUCCUCUCACCUCCUCUGAGGAAGAUUUCUCUGUGUGAAAUGUGCUGCUGGGACUUCUUAAAGACAUAAUUUUUGAAGAACUCUCACUGUGAAAAAUAAGCCUGAGGCUUUCUAUUGUGAAUACAGUAUAAUUUGUGAAAUCUGUGUCUCAUUAUAUUAAGUAUAAAUACAUUGCCUGUUGUGUGUUAAGAUGUGGUAUACGUUAGAAUAGGCAGUGUUAAUGCAGCACUUUUCUCUCUUUCAAGCGUAACCUACUGUAUUUUUUAAAGUGCUAAUGCAGCACUGAAUUAAUUGCAGGUUGUAAAAUCUGAGGUUAUGGGUUUUCAGGAUUUAUCUCACAUUCUUCAUAUGUGGUGAUUUUUGAAAGGCUGUAUUCAACUCCUCUAAAUAAACAGAUACUCACUUACAUUCAGACCUUUCUACUAACAGAAUAUAUUUACUAAUGUAAGAGAAAGAUACAUGAUUACAAUCAUGAUGCUA